CAGUAGCCGCGGGAAUACGAAGGGGGCUAGCGUUGUUCGGAUUUACUGGGCGUAAAGCGCACGUAGGCGGACUUUUAAGUCAGGGGUGAAAUCCCGGGGCUCAACCCCGGAACUGCCUUUGAUACUGGGAGUCUUGAGUUCGAGAGAGGUGAGUGGAAUUGCGAGUGUAGAGGUGAAAUUCGUAGAUAUUCGCAGGAACACCAGUGGCGAAGGCGGCUCACUGGCUCGAUACUGACGCUGAGGUGCGAAAGCGUGGGAAGCAAACAGGAUUAGAUACCCCGGUAGUCCCUGUCUCUUAUAC
RNAcentral lists this ribosomal RNA (301 nucleotides) under uncultured bacterium. Its description in RNAcentral is "partial 16S ribosomal RNA". It matches the Rfam family "Bacterial small subunit ribosomal RNA", at positions 509 to 807 of the family's 1533-position model. The record is from RNAcentral.